This 235-nucleotide ribosomal RNA is filed under the name uncultured Corynebacterium sp. RNAcentral describes it as "partial 16S ribosomal RNA". It matches the Rfam family "Bacterial small subunit ribosomal RNA", at positions 96 to 334 of the family's 1533-position model. Lineage: Bacteria; Bacillati; Actinomycetota; Actinomycetes; Mycobacteriales; Corynebacteriaceae. RNAcentral also lists the same sequence under 1 other name. The record is from RNAcentral.
UGGCGAACGGGUGAGUAACACGUGGGUGAUCUGCCCUGCACUUCGGGAUAAGCCUGGGAAACUGGGUCUAAUACCGGAUAGGAGCCAUUUUUAGUGUGAUGGUUGGAAAGUUUUUUCGGUGUAGGAUGAGCUCGCGGCCUAUCAGCUUGUUGGUGGGGUAAUGGCCUACCAAGGCGGCGACGGGUAGCCGGCCUGAGAGGGUGGACGGCCACAUUGGGACUGAGAUACGGCCCAG